CUUGAGAUUUACAGGAGCGGCGCCAAACAAAACACAAUUCAGAAAUUGUUUUUUUUUUUUUACUUGGAAAUAGAAUGAAAUAAACCCUAACUGUUUUCUCACCAGUGUAGCUUAGGUUGUGCGCUCUGCAAACAACAUGUCCACUCCUACAAUGACAACUGUAAGACUGGAAUAAUAAUAUAUUGAAUGCAUUAACAGACAUGGCCAUAACCAAACAAACAUUGUAGAUUAGAAAUGAUGGGAAUUAACAGUAAAUGUACUACUGGGUGAUACUGGUGUGCCCCCCUGCAGCCUCCGCAAUGGGUUAGUCCCCUCAGACAGGCGUGAAUUAGACAGGUGUCUUAGACUGAUGGACUGUGCCAUCCCCCACGGCCUCCGCAAUGGGUUAGUCCCCUCAGACAGGCGUGAAUCAGACAGGUGUCUUAGACUGAUGGACUGUGCCAUCCCCCACGGCCUCCGCAAUGGGUUAGUCCCCUCAGACAGGCGUGAAUUAGACGGGUGUCUUAGACUGAUGGACUGUGCCGUCCCCCACGGCCUCCGCAAUGGGUUAGUCCCCUCAGACAGGCGUGAAUCAGACAGGUGUCUUAGACUGAUGGACUGUGCCAUCCCCCACGGCCUCCGCAAUGGGUUAGUCCCCUCAGACAGGCGUGAAUCAGACAGGUGUCUUAGACUGAUGGACUGUGCCGUCCCCCACGGCCUCCGCAAUGGGUUAGUCCCCUCAGACAGGCGUGAAUCAGACGGGUGUCUUAGACUGAUGGACUGUGCCAUCCCCCACGGCCUCCGCAAUGGGUUAGUCCCCUCAG
This is a long non-coding RNA of Oncorhynchus keta (chum salmon), 803 nucleotides long. RefSeq lists it as uncharacterized. Lineage: Eukaryota; Metazoa; Chordata; Actinopteri; Salmoniformes; Salmonidae. The record is from RefSeq and is a predicted model, not a curated record. The transcript has 4 exons.